UACGGAAGGGGCUAGCGUUGUUCGGAAUUACUGGGCGUAAAGCGCACGUAGGCGGAUAUUUAAGUCAGGGGUGAAAUCCCAGUGCGUCAACUCUGGAACUGCCUUUGAUACUGGUAUCUUGAGUAUGGAAGAGGUGAGUGGAAUUCCGAGUGUAGAGGUGAAAUUCGUAGAUAUUCGGAGGAACACCAGUGGCGAAGGCGGCUCACUGGUCCAUUACUGACGCUGAGGUGCGAAAGCGUGGGGAGCAAAACAGG
Molecule: ribosomal RNA, 254 nt
Filed under: uncultured bacterium
Lineage: Bacteria
Description: partial 16S ribosomal RNA
Rfam family: Bacterial small subunit ribosomal RNA
Source: RNAcentral